RNAcentral lists this ribosomal RNA (460 nucleotides) under uncultured bacterium. RNAcentral describes it as "bacterial SSU rRNA". It matches the Rfam family "Bacterial small subunit ribosomal RNA", at positions 29 to 534 of the family's 1533-position model. The record is from RNAcentral.
AACGAACGCUGGCGGCAGGCCUAACACAUGCAAGUCGAGCGAACCCUUCGGGGUUAGCGGCGGACGGGUUAGUAACGCGUGGGAAUAUACCCUUUGGUACGGAAUAGCCUCGGGAAACUGAGAGUAAUACCGUAUGUGCCCUUCGGGGAAGAUUAUCGCCAAAGGAUUAGCCCGCGUUGGAUUAGAUAGUCGGUGGGGUAAUGGCCUACCAAGUCUACGAUCCAUAGCUGGUUUGAGAGGAUGAUCAGCAACACUGGGACUGAGACACGGCCCAGACUCCUACGGGAGGCAGCAGUGGGGAAUCUUAGACAAUGGGCGCAAGCCUGAUCUAGCCAUGCCGCGUGGACGAUGAAGGCCUUAGGGUUGUAAAGUCCUUUCAGAUGGGAAGAUAAUGACGGUACCAUCAGAAGAAGCCCCGGCUAACUCCGUCGCCACGCAGCCGCGGUAAGUGUCUAGCAUG